UUUACACUAAUGUCCCCAAACACUUCGUG
RNAcentral lists this non-coding RNA (29 nucleotides) under Rattus norvegicus (Norway rat). The record is from RNAcentral. Lineage: Eukaryota; Metazoa; Chordata; Mammalia; Rodentia; Muridae.